Molecule: ribosomal RNA, 410 nt
Filed under: uncultured Glissomonadida
Lineage: Eukaryota; Cercozoa; Glissomonadida
Description: bacterial SSU rRNA
Rfam family: Eukaryotic small subunit ribosomal RNA (bases 173-410)
Source: RNAcentral
GAUUUCUGGUUUCUUUUCCACCGGUCCGCUUUGCAGUGGAUACUCUUGUAGUGUUACACGGAGGUGUGCUGCCGUGUUGCGUAAAAGGCCAUCCUUCGAGAGAGUGGGGUCGCCGACUGUUCAUGUCAGCUUGCAUUCGUGUGUAGCGGUGGAUACGUAGGUCCUCAUUAAAGCUCUUUCGAUCGUUUACUUUGAAAAAAUUAGAGUGUUCAAAGCAGGCUGUUUUCAGCUGUGAAUACAUUAGCAUGGAAUAAUAAGAUAGGACUUUGGUACUAUUUUGUUGGGUUCACGAUUCAGUUCGGUUCUAGUGCCCGAAGUAAUGAUUGAUAGGGAUAGUUGGGGGUGCUAGUAUUUAAUGGCCAGAGGUGAAAUUCUUGGAUUCAUUAAAGACUAACUAAUGCGAAAGCAUU